UUUUUUUAGUCUUUGUUGUUGGUGUUGUGAUUGUUGCCAAGUUCAGGGCAUGUGGGAGUUCAACACGUGGAAGGUCUCAGGCCAGGUAUCCAACUCUCACCACAGCAGUGACCCUUCACUGUUAGGCCACCAGGGAACUCCAUUCUUUUAGUCUUAAUGAGGAACCAAAGAUAGAAACAGAGAAAAAAACAAAUACUCUCCAAACAACUCUUUGAUUCUAAAAUGAAAGGUGUCCAAGGGAGGGGAAAAAACCUGGAUGACAUGGGCUAUAAAGGUUUGAAAGUAAAAGGCCCCAGGAGCAGCUCAUAAUUAUUCCACCAAGGAACUGUAUCCACUAAAGACUCCAUUGAGACCUGAGCAUCCCAAAAGUCAUGUCAGUGUGGUUGAAAAGUCAUCAGAACAACAUUUAUCCUUGAACAAAUUUCAUAGUCCUUGCAUUGUGGGAAAGCUUUUCCCAACACAACUGUCCUGUCAUUAUAUAAUUUCCAGCUCAUUUUUUCUUCAUGCCCCACCAAAGAAAAUAACCAAACCAAACCAAACAACCUCACCUAGUCAUACUUAUAAAAUGGUUUCCUCUAACCAGCUUUCCAUUACAAACAUAAAAUAAUGACAGGUAGAACAUUCAUACAUUUUACAGAGUAAAUACUACACAAAAUUAAAUUCAGCAGGAAAACUCAUUUCACAAGAGCACUUUACCUCGAGAUCAAAAUCAGUGACUGUAUCUGAUGUAGGCCAUGUAUCAUCAACAUGAGGUUUGCUGGAAAAACUUUAUGGCAAAGACAUACAAGAAAACUGAGUCAGUUACUUUUUGACAUUUGAUGCAAGUAUAGUUGAUUUACAAUGCUGGGGUCAUUUCUGCUCUGCAAUGUUGUGGUAAUUCUGAUGUACAACAAAAUGAUCCCAUUACACAUAUACACUUAUCCAUUCUUUUUCAGACUCUUUGCCUAUAUAGAUUAACUGAGAAUAUUGGGUAGAGUUGAGUUCAUUUCUUUAAACAAUACCACCAACAAAAUUAAGUUGAGGAUUGGGUCUCUAUGUAUUAAAUAAAGGUCCCUGACAUAAUUAAAAAGUGGCCUCUGUUUUUAACAAGAUUUUUGCUACUUAUGUCUGCUUCCAUCACUCCCGACAUAUCAAAUAUCUAGUAAAGACCCAAUCUUCAUUCCCAUAACAAAGAGUAAAAGUCAAUAUGCCAGCAGACCCUGAGACUAAUGUGUUUGCACCAAACAUCUUAAGAGCGGAACUGAAAAUCCUGUUUACAAGGGGCUUAUCUUUUGUUCGGUUAAACUGGAACACACUUGACCUAAAACAAAGUAGAAAGAUGCACUGUUCCUUCUCCAUUGUCUGUCCCUGGUUCAAAGACUAAUCUGUGUCUGUCAAAAAAAGGCAGUCUUUGUUCUUUAGCAGGGAAAACACUUAUCAAGAAGGCCCCAUUCCUUGCCUUUCCUCUAUUACAGUACAGGGAGUUCCUUGAAAUGUUUGAAAGUGAAAUGUACAAAAGUCAAAGGAGGAGUUCCCACCAUGGCACAGUGCGUUAAGGAUCCAGCAUUGCAGCAGCAGUUGGAUAGGUGACAGCUAUGGCUUGGAUUCAAACCCUGGCUUGGGAACCUCCACAUGUCAAAGGUGUGGCUGAAGAUGAAAGUCAAAGAACAAAUGUAUAUGUUAAAUUCAUAUGCUAAACUAUUCCCAGAGGGGUGCAUAAAUAAAAAUUAUAAAGUCUAAUUAGUAUUCCCAUACAAGACCUGGUUAUUCAGGUCCACAUAAACUAGCCAGGUCUCAAAAAUCCCAUCCAGGCACCCAGAUACCCAAGGAGAGAGAGGGCUGUAAAAACAGAGUCCUGGGAGCUAGGCUUCUGUUGUUUUUUAUGGACUGCUAAAUAUCUCCCUUCCUAUGGGCUGCUCUCCCACAUCACACUUCUGCAGACCUCAGGGUCAGUCGCCCAUUUUUAUGGUUUCAGCCCAUGAAGGCAAUGGUUUCUACAACAAUGAUGGGCUCAGAGAACCAUGAGCAGGAACUCCCUAAUUCCCUGUUCCUAGCCAACGGGUUACUGGAGCCUCUGUCAUCCACUCCCAACACAGGUGUGGAGCAAGCCACCCAACUGAGGUCUAUGACUGAUAUGUAAGAAGAAAAGAGAUUCUGGGAACAAAAGAGAAAAUUUCAGAGAACCAGGCAAGGGUCCUAACCUGAGGGGAAAACCAGACUUGGAGGUCAGCAAGUUGAGACACUGAAUAGAAAUCUGCUCUCUACAGAUGUGGAAUUUAAUUCAAUAACAUGGUCUCUACAUAGAUACUUUCCUCCUCAAAAAAAAAUUCAUCUUAAGGCAAGUCAAUAUCAUUCUACCUAAGAAGACUUGCCUAGUAAGGUCUUGCCUUUGUCAAACCCCAUGGUUCUGUGGCCACAGCUACCUGGGUUCUGCCCUAACACUUUCAUGGUCAAAAUAAGGUACUAGUUGCCACUGUGAC
Molecule: long non-coding RNA, 2459 nt
Filed under: Sus scrofa (pig)
Lineage: Eukaryota; Metazoa; Chordata; Mammalia; Artiodactyla; Suidae
Description: lncRNA (ENSSSCG00065016347.1)
Source: RNAcentral